CCCCCNCAGGGGAGGNGCCNGGGCAGNAUUUUCNNCAAUGGGCGAAACCCAAGCGGAGCAAAACCCAGGGGGGGAGGAAGGGAANGGGUUUUAAUCCUCUUUUUUCAGGGACAAGCAAAAUGACGGUACCUGAGGAAUCAGCAUAGGCUAACUCCGUGCCAGCAGNNGCGGUAAUACGGAGGAUGCAAGCGUUAUCCGGAAUGAUUGGGCGUAAAGGGUUNGCAGGUGGCGAGGUAAGUCUGCUGUUAAANGUCCCNNUCAACCCNNAACCGGCGGUGGAAANACAAAGCUAGAGUGUGGUAGGGGCAGAGGGAAUUCCCGGUGUAUAGAGAAAAAUGUANAGAUCUGGAAGAACACCCGUGGGGAAAGCGCUCUGCUAGGCCUAAACUGACACUCAGGGACGAAAGAUAGGGGAGAGAAUGCAAUUAGAUACCCCAGUAGUCCUAGCCCUAAACAAUAGAUACUACNNGUNNCACGUAUCNACCCNNCAGUGCCGUAGCUAACGCGUAAG
This 511-nucleotide ribosomal RNA is filed under the name uncultured cyanobacterium. RNAcentral's name for it is "partial 16S ribosomal RNA". It matches the Rfam family "Bacterial small subunit ribosomal RNA", at positions 335 to 864 of the family's 1533-position model. Lineage: Bacteria; Bacillati; Cyanobacteriota. The record is from RNAcentral.